GACGAACGCUGGCGGCGUGCUUAACACAUGCAAGUCGAACGAAGUGGCGAACGGGUGAGUAACGCGUAAUCAACCUGCCCUUCAGAGGGGGACAACAGUUGGAAACGACUGCUAAUACCGCAUACUGAAGGAGGGGAUUGCGUCUGAUUAGCUAGUUGGAGGGGUAACGGUCCACCAAGGCGAUGAUCAGCAGCCGGGCUGAGAUGAUGAACGGGCCAAAUGGGACUGGUGCACGGCCCAGACUCCUAAGGGGGGCAGCAGUGGGGAAUCUUCCGCCAUGGACGAAAGGCUGACGGAGCAACGCCGCGUGAGUGGUGGCGGCCUUCGGGUUGUAAAGCUCUGUUAAUCGGGACGCGGUACCGGAAUAGAAAGCCACGGCUAACUACGUGCCAGCAGCCGCGGUAAUAC
This 408-nucleotide ribosomal RNA is filed under the name uncultured bacterium. Its description in RNAcentral is "partial 16S ribosomal RNA". It matches the Rfam family "Bacterial small subunit ribosomal RNA", at positions 28 to 526 of the family's 1533-position model. The record is from RNAcentral.